This 2149-nucleotide long non-coding RNA is filed under the name Homo sapiens (human). RNAcentral's name for it is "non-protein coding lnc-HIVEP1-4:3". Lineage: Eukaryota; Metazoa; Chordata; Mammalia; Primates; Hominidae. The record is from RNAcentral.
AUAAUCAGGCUGCCCAGCUUGUUGGCUUGGACAUGGCUCCUCUCCACUUAGGAGGCUCUGCCCACUCACAUUCCAGGCCUCAGCUUGCCAUGUUUUCCUGUUAAGCCCAGAACCCUUCCCCUGGGUCCCUUCCUCAGAGGGGACAUGUUGGGAGCCACAGUCUCAGAGAUACUUGGGAUUUUAAACAUGAUGCAACUCUAGGGCUGACUUUGGAAUUCUGUGGGCUGUGCUUGGCCCAGAUCCCACCUUUGGGCCACUUUUGCUGCUGCUAUUAUUUUUAGUUGGUGGGGCAAUCAUUGUGUGCCUUUGUACAGUUUUCAUUUGGGAAGCCUUAGAGCUCUUUAACUCCACUCCAUUCUAUCACAUCCUUGUUUAGCAAUGAUCAUCCUUUUGCAUUACAAACUAGAAAAGCAACUCCGUAAGACUAACAAACUCUCUUCAACCAAGUAAAGGAGACUCCUUGUGGAGGGGAGCCCCUGCCCGCUCACCUGGAUGACCAUGCCUCACCUCUGCCGAUCACAUGCAAAUAUUUGUCCUGUUCUGAGACAUCCUCCUGGGUCCCAGCUUCUUCUCUUGAAGAAUUUCCAGUGCACCAUCAGAAGCCGAAGUAACUGUGAGUGGGAGGCAUUGGAGCCGGCUGGGAGGUAAGCAUUCGGGCCAGCAGGGAGGAGGAGUCGCCCAUGUAGCAGUGCUGGAUGACAACAUUCCCACACUGCCCUCGGACACAUCACAGACCCUGGUACCACAGGAUCCCUCUGAUUCAACUGAAGAGAGAUGCAGAGCUGCAUGCCACCAAGUAACUAAUUCGUUCUUCUCUUCUUAUAUCCAUUGAGCAGUGUGCAGUGUUGGCACAAUGCACAGUACUUGUUAACCACUCCAGGAAAAGAAAGAGCCACUCAUUCUGAUUAGCUGUCAGAACUAAUUUUAAGCUAUGUUAUUAUAUGGUAAAGAGGAAAAAGGAAAUACAAGGAAACUGUACUUAAAGCCAGUGCCUAAUCAGGUUUUUUCCCCUUCGUCUGUUUCAUACAAAAGCUCCCUGGAAUCACUGGUGUGAACCAUUUCAUUCCCCUCUUCCGGUGUUAAUUACAUGUGAUAUUCUAAAAUAUACACUCCUCUCUCCAAGUAGACCAAACCGAGCCCUUUGUAAAUUGCUCAUUGCCCAUUCGUUUUCCCCAGCAGCUCCACCUCAUUUCCUUGUACCUCCUGUUUCGCCGUGGGGCCACAACUCCAGCAGCACUAAGUAUAGAGUAAUUAUUUCUGCCAGAAACAUUCCCCCUAAAAAGGGCUGGGCUGAGUUUGGUGUAUGUAUGUGUGUACUUGAAAGAAAGGCAUAUAAUAAUAUCAGGCCUCUUUGUUUUCCCUCUUUUAAUACCCACCGGUUCUCCAAGAUGUCAUUGGCAAACACAACAGCAUUUGCUUUUGUUCCCUUUACAAAUAUUUUCCUCUCAAGGCCUAUUUCUUUCUUAAAACUGCUGCGUGUCUCACUAUGGAAAGCAAUAGUUCUCAAUUAGUAGACUGAAUGAACUCUGCCUGUGUGGUUUUGAUUUAGGAAAUAUUUACUAAGCUUUUGGUCUAAAACUCCCCAAAAUCUGGAGCAGCUGAUAGUCUCUUGGGUAAGUGAAAGCAACUCAAAUGGUAGGUAUUUGUGUUUCAGGUGGGAGUGGGGGCAGAAGAGGGGCCUUGGGAAAUCCAGUUAAUCUAUCUAUCACUUCUUUUCCAAUCAUGUCAUUAUCCAUUCAACAAAUAAUUGCUGAAUGCCUAAUAUGUGCUUGCUGCUCUUGGGUGAGUUGGGACCACCAAGCGUGACCAUUCAACCCAAGGAGAACUCUUAUUACUCUUGCAGAAACAGAGCUGGGCAUUCUGUAACAGUCUAGAGAUUUUACUGGAGUAAGGGACAACCAUAUGAUUUGUCUUUUGGCAUAAUACAAAUUAUAUUCAUUUUUUAAAAUAAAAAAAUUACUUACUUUUGUAUCUUAUGGUAAGCAUUUCUUCCAAUAUAGGGAAAUGCUAAAUGUCUCCAGAUUUCUGCAUAGGGCUUACAUGUUGCACAGAUUUGUGACAAUCUUGAGAUUUGGUUCCUUGAAUGGAGUCUCUAAUACAAGCUUUCUACUUAGAUUGAAUGAUCAGCCUUGAUGGUCCCAACUUGCCC